This 1461-nucleotide long non-coding RNA is filed under the name Sus scrofa (pig). RNAcentral describes it as "lncRNA (ENSSSCG00045006096.1)". Lineage: Eukaryota; Metazoa; Chordata; Mammalia; Artiodactyla; Suidae. The record is from RNAcentral.
CUGGUGAGGAAAGUAGCCGAAGCCCAGGUAGAGAAGUCCUUGAGGCGAGUCUCUGCUCAGGACUCGCUUGGUCUGGAUGAGCGUUCUGUGGUUUAAUGUGGUUUCAUAUGUACGUUCUGUAAAAUUGUUCAUGUUGAAAACUGAAGGGCCCGGAGUUUAUAUUCUUGAGAGUAUGUUUUAUUUCCCCUUAGAACAUCUGGGGGCAGUGUCCUGAGCUUUCUCACCCUGAGUCUCCUGAAGGGGGGUGACCACAGCUGCUCACUCCUAGAUGGCGGGUGUCCUGUUUCCGUCCUGAGUUCCUUCAGGAGCUAUGAUGUGAUGGCUUGAUGGCUGCACCAUUCUUUGUUUACUGAUGUGGCAGGCAGUAGUUUUCAUUCACAAAGUUGACCGAGGUCUAUGGAAGGUUUUAUUUCUAGUUUUUUAGGAUGGAAGGAAUGGGGAAUUCCCGUCACGGCUCAGCGGUUAACGAACCCGACUGGCAUCCAUGAGGACGCAGCUUUGAUCCCUGGCCUUGCUCAGUGGGUUAAGGAUCCGGUGUUGCCGUGAGCUGUGGUGUAGGUCACAGACGUGGCUCAGAUCCCGCGUUGCUGUGGCUGUGGUGUAGGCCGGGAGCUACAGCUCCCAAUUCAACCCCUAGCCUGGGAACCUCCAUAUGCUGUGGGUGUGACCCUAAAGAGGGGGGGAAAAAAGAAAAAGGCUAGAGGACUGACAGCAUCUUUUUAUGAUGAUGAGAAUGAUCCAGUAAGAAGUAGAAAUUCAUGACAUAGGAGAAGGAGGACAGUGCAAGUACUGGUGAGUAGAGGGAUUGAUAGGAACGUGGUCCCUCCUGCUGGUGCGGAUGGGAAAGUCGAUUUUAUGGAUCUAGAUUUGGGCUAAUAGGUUUUUGUAGCAGGAAUGUGUCGUACUUCUUUUUGCAUUAUUUCUUUUCGCCCCUAAUUGAAUAAAAAGCAGUCAGCAGAUAUAAGGGUAGGAUUUGGGGAAGGAGUGCUGGAAGUUUGGGGAGAAAUUGCCUUGGAGGGAGCGUAUUUCCUAGAUGGCUGUAGUAUGGACUCACUUGAAAUUUAUCAUCGUAAACACACACACCAGCCUAUAUGAUUUUGGAUUUUUUUGGUCACCUCCAGCUGCCCGUGUGUAGUUGCACAAUAGAUGGAAAGUUGGAUUUAAAAGGGUUGGGCUUUCACCAGGACUCUGGUGUCCGGGAGGAAUAGCAAGGUUCCAGCUGGAGGAGCUCUCGUCGUGGCGCAGUGGUUAACGAAUCCGACCAGGAACCCUGAGGUUGCGGGUUUGAUCCCUGGCCUCGCUCCGUGGGUUAAGGAUCCGGCGUUGCCGUGAGCUGUGGUGCAGGUCGCAGAUGUGGCUCAGAUCCUGCGGUGCUGUGGCUGUGGUGUAGGCCGGUAGCUACAGCUCCGAUUGGACCCCUAGCCUGGGAACCUCCAUGUGCCGCAGGAGUGGCCCAAGAAA